GAAUUCGCCCUUGGGGAAUUUUCCGCAAUGGGCGCAAGCCUGACGGAGCAACGCCGCGUGAGGGAGGAAUGUCUGUGGAUUGUAAACCUCUUUUCUCUGGGAAGAAGCUCUGACGGUACCAGAGGAAUCAGCAUCGGCUAACUCCGUGCCAGCAGCCGCGGUAAGACGGAGGAUGCAAGCGUUAUCCGGAAUUAUUGGGCGUAAAGCGUCCGUAGGCGGUUAGAUAAGUCAGUUGUUAAAGACUGCAGCUCAACUGUGGGAGAGCAACCGAAACUGUCUGACUAGAGUAUGGUAGGGGUAGAGGGAAUUCCUAGUGUAGCGGUGAAAUGCGUAGAUAUUGGGAAGAACACCAGUGGCGAAGGCGCUCUACUGGGCCACGACUGACGCUGAUGGACGAAAGCUAGGGGAGCGAAAGGGAUUAGAUACCCCUGUAGUCAAGGGCGAA
RNAcentral lists this ribosomal RNA (445 nucleotides) under uncultured cyanobacterium. RNAcentral's name for it is "bacterial SSU rRNA". It matches the Rfam family "Bacterial small subunit ribosomal RNA", at positions 344 to 804 of the family's 1533-position model. The record is from RNAcentral. Lineage: Bacteria; Bacillati; Cyanobacteriota.